AGAACGAACGCUGGCGGCAGGCUUAACACAUGCAAGUCGAGCGCUGUAGCAAUACAGAGCGGCAGACGGGUGAGUAACGCGUGGGAACAUACCCUCCGGUUCGGAAUAACUCAGGGAAACUUGAGCUAAUACCGAAUACGGUCGAGAGGCGAAAGAUUUAUCGCCGGAGGAUUGGCCCGCGUUCGAUUAGCUAGUUGGUGAGGUAACGGCUCACCAAGGCGACGAUCUAUAGCUGGUCUGAGAGGAUGAUCAGCCACACUGGGACUGAGACACGGCCCAGACUCCUACGGGAGGCAGCAGUGAGGAAUAUUGGACAAUGGGGGGCAACCCUGAUCCAGCCAUGCCGCGUGAGUGAUGAAGGCCUUCGGGUUGUAAAACUCUUUUAGAUGUGACGAUGAUGACGGUAACAUCAGAAAAGCUCCGGCUAACUUCGUGCCAGCAGCCGC
RNAcentral lists this ribosomal RNA (446 nucleotides) under uncultured bacterium. RNAcentral describes it as "SSU rRNA". It matches the Rfam family "Bacterial small subunit ribosomal RNA", at positions 26 to 518 of the family's 1533-position model. The record is from RNAcentral.